CCAGGCGCAGUGGCUCAUGCCUGUAAUCCCAGCACUUUGGGAGGCCGAAGCAGGUGGAUCACUUAAGGUCAGGAGUUCAAGACCAGCCUGACCAACAUGGUGAAACCCCGUCUCUACUAAAAAUACAAAAA
Mandrillus leucophaeus (drill) is the source of this 131-nucleotide long non-coding RNA. RefSeq lists it as uncharacterized. The transcript is spliced from 2 exons. Lineage: Eukaryota; Metazoa; Chordata; Mammalia; Primates; Cercopithecidae. The record is from RefSeq and is a predicted model, not a curated record.